This 1650-nucleotide ribosomal RNA is filed under the name Triticum aestivum (bread wheat). RNAcentral describes it as "partial small subunit ribosomal RNA". The record is from RNAcentral. Lineage: Eukaryota; Viridiplantae; Streptophyta; Magnoliopsida; Poales; Poaceae.
AUGGACUGCUUGACUUUUGCCCGCAGAUCUGUAGGGCAUGGCCAUGAAGUAAGCAAAGGACUUGACGCCGCCCCUCCCCUGCAAAAGAGAGAAGACGUCAAGGUCACCAACCGUCACACCUCUUGUCGCUCACAUGAUGAAGCACAUCCACCACCGGCACCCGAAUACCAGCCGGAGUGCAUACCGAGUAGCACGCCAACCAAGGAUGCCGCCCCGGCAUCUCACUCCGAACCUAUCGCCUUGGCCGCUUUUGGGGAAGUGACUGGGCUAGACACCAACUAUGCUAAAAGUCUGGUGGCUCCCAUUCGUUGUGGCAACAUUAAUCUAGAUGAAACUCUGCAGGCCUUCCCGGCGGUGCGCACCACGUUCCCGAUGCAGUAUCUUGGCCUCCCGCUAUCAGUCAAACGCCUCAAAAGCAUUCAUUUUCAACAACUUGUCGACAAGGUCGCCGGCAAACUCCCUCCUUGGCAGGGAAGGCAUGACGCCAGUGUUGAGCGUGUGGUUCUUGUCAAGGCGGUCCUCACGUCCAUUGCAAUUCAUCAUCUCACGCCUCUCGACAUCCCCGUAGAGGGCCUUAACGCAACUGACAGUCUUUGGCGUGCUUACCUUUUGGAGGGCGCUCACAAAGUUUCGGGAGGAAAAUGCAAGAUCAACUGGGACCUAGUCUGCAAGCCUAAACAAUUUGGUGGCUUGGGUGUGCUCAACUUGGACAAAUUCACUAAGGCCCUUCGUCUCCGAUGGCUAUGGUUCAAGUGGGUGGACAAAAGCAAGCCAUGGAUAGGAAUGGGGUCUCCAUGCACCGAGGACGACCACAAAUUUUUUGCGGCCGCUACAAUGCAAGCCCUUACCAACAACAACUGGAUCUCUCUCAUUGACACCUCCAAUGGCCUAUCACUUGCACAUGUCCCGCAUUUUACUCACCUAUGGGAGAAGAUAUCCAUGAUCUCUCUGAUCGAUGACAUUGAAGAUUCCAUCAUUUGGAAAUUCACCAAGGAUGGGGUGUACUCGGCGUAUAAGGCACGGUUUGAGGGACUCACUUCAUCCGAUCUUGUUCACUCGACAAGAGCUUCGGUGAGAGAAUGGUGGAAUGGCAACCUUCAAAUUCGCCUUGGGUCCCCUAAGGCGCUCGCCUCCUUGAUGAUGUUCAUCUCAUGGGAGAUAUGGACGGAGCGGGAAAGACCCCUGUCCUUUCCCCGGCCCAUCCCGGGGAUAGCUCGCCCGGUGUCGAUAGGCCAGGGAGAAAACCCUCGACUCGCUCGCUCUCUCGCGACCGACCAGGCGCCGUCGACCAAGAUCCAUCUCCGCCUCCGACCUCCGAGCUCCUCCGCCUCCGACCUCCACCGCCGGCGAACGAAGCGACGUCCCUCGCAGCCCUCCCCCCGGUGCUUAGGAUCCACGCUCCGCCCCUCCAGUGACAGCGACGGUGACAGACCGCGGCCGCCACCCUCCUCCUUCCCCGGACCACCUCUCCGCCUCGAAGCUCGUGUCCGAUCCGGUAACGGCGACGGCGACGGCGGCAGGCACCUACUUCGACCAAGGUUACCCCCUCCUCUUCCACGUCAUAUUUUUGCUCUCCAUUCCAUGCACUCACCGUUCAUGAACUUUUUGAUCCAGAUCCAAGAACCUGAGCACCGGCUUCACUUGUUUUAA